This 435-nucleotide ribosomal RNA is filed under the name uncultured bacterium. RNAcentral describes it as "partial 16S ribosomal RNA". It matches the Rfam family "Bacterial small subunit ribosomal RNA", at positions 28 to 507 of the family's 1533-position model. The record is from RNAcentral.
GAUGAACGCUGGCGGUAUGCUUAACACAUGCAAGUCGAACGGACUCUUCGGAGUUAGUGGCGGAAGGGGGAGUAACGCGUGAGAAUCUGGCUUUGGGUUCGGGACAACCACUGGAAACGGUGGCUAAUACCGGAUGUGCCGAGAGGUAAAAGAGAACUUGCCUGAAGAUGAGCUCGCGUCUGAUUAGCUAGUUGGUGAGGUAAAGGCUCACCAAGGCAGCGAUCAGUAGCUGGUCUGAGAGGAUGACCAGCCACACUGGGACUGAGACACGGCCCAGACUCCUACGGGAGGCAGCAGUGGGGAAUUUUCCGCAAUGGGCGAAAGCCUGACGGAGCAAUACCGCGUGGGGGAAGAAGGCUCUUGGGUUGUAAACCUCUUUUCUUAGGGAAGAACAAAAUGACGGUACCUAAGGAAUCAGCAUCGGCUAACUCCGUG